This is a long non-coding RNA of Pezoporus occidentalis (night parrot), 498 nucleotides long. RefSeq lists it as uncharacterized. NCBI's taxonomy places the organism in Eukaryota, Metazoa, Chordata, Aves, Psittaciformes, Psittacidae. The record is from RefSeq and is a predicted model, not a curated record. The transcript is spliced from 2 exons.
GCGGUUCGGGGAGGAAAUGGGGUUGCCCUGGGGGUCGUGGGGAAGAGGAGGAGGAGGAAAGCGGCGGGGCAGGUGAAGGCCGGCUCUCCCGUCCCCAUUCCCGUCCGUUCCUCUGCCGAAAUGCCUAAAUCUCUAAUUGUUUGUGUUGUUUCCCCCCCGCGGAAACGUGUCCGGUAGCGCCAAAAAGAAGAAAAAAAAAGAGGAGAAAGAAGAAAAUCCACCCGCCGAGAUGCGAGGAGAUCGGAGGGGAAGUGGUGGAGGUUUUGUGUGUGCCCUCGGGGUAACGCACAGAGAAGCAGCGUCGCUUAUGCGAGAUGUUGAUGGAAUUUAUGUAUUAAAAAAAAAAGAGAAAAGCCCCUUUUCAAGAAUAAAGUGUAUCAAGUUACAGCCCAGCAGACGGCAGAGGGAUAAGUGAAACAGACAAAAGACAAACAAGAUAAUAAUCUGUUUCCAAUCAGUUAAGCCCUGUAGAAUUUGUAAUACGCGGUUUGCAUAUUC